Molecule: non-coding RNA, 21 nt
Filed under: Caenorhabditis elegans
Lineage: Eukaryota; Metazoa; Nematoda; Chromadorea; Rhabditida; Rhabditidae
Source: RNAcentral
UUUACAUCUUUCAUCUUUCUC